AUACCUUUCUCGGCCUUUUGGCUAAGAUCAAGUGUAGUAUCUGUUCUUAUCAGUUUAAUAUCUGAUAUGUGGGCCAUUGGUUCACACGAUAUUAAAUUUAUUUUUUAAGGGAGAGAGUGGGCUAAUUGCAGUGGCUUGCUACUGUGGCUCUCUAGCAUCGCCUUUGCUUUACACUACUGUAAGGGCUUGGUGCAUCCCUC
This 200-nucleotide small nuclear RNA is filed under the name Vigna radiata var. radiata (mung bean). RNAcentral's name for it is "snRNA U2". It matches the Rfam family "U2 spliceosomal RNA". Rfam says of the family: U2 is a small nuclear RNA (snRNA) component of the spliceosome (involved in pre-mRNA splicing). Complementary binding between U2 snRNA (in an area lying towards the 5' end but 3' to hairpin I) and the branchpoint sequence (BPS) of the intron results the bulging out of an unpaired adenosine, on the BPS, which initiates a nucleophilic attack at the intronic 5' splice site, thus starting the first of two transesterification reactions that mediate splicing. The record is from Rfam by way of RNAcentral. Lineage: Eukaryota; Viridiplantae; Streptophyta; Magnoliopsida; Fabales; Fabaceae.